CCUACGGGAGGCUGCAGUGAGGGAUUUUCGGCAAUGGGCGAAAGCCUGACCGAGCGACGCCGCGUGAGCGAAGAAGGCCUUCGGGUCGUAAAGCUCUGUCUAGGGGGACGAGAACGGACGGUACCCCUGGAGGAAGCCACGGCUAACUACGUGCCAGCAGCCGCGGUAAUACGUAGGUGGCGAGCGUUGUCCGGAAUUACUGGGCGUAAAGGGCGCGCAGGCGGCGCGUUAAGUCCGGGGUGAAAUCCCACGGCUCAACUGUGGGGGGACCCUGGAUACUGGCGUGCUGGAGUGCGGGAGAGGGAAGCGGAAUUCCACGUGUAACGGUGAAAUGUAUAGAUAUGUGGAGGAACACCGGUGGCGAAGGCGGCUUCCUGGACCGUAACUGACGCUGAGGCGCGAAAGCUGGGGGAGCGAACAGGAUUAGAUACCCCUGUAGUC
RNAcentral lists this ribosomal RNA (441 nucleotides) under uncultured Bacillota bacterium. Its description in RNAcentral is "bacterial SSU rRNA". It matches the Rfam family "Bacterial small subunit ribosomal RNA", at positions 338 to 795 of the family's 1533-position model. Lineage: Bacteria; Bacillati; Bacillota. The record is from RNAcentral.